UACGAAGGGGGCUAGCGUUGUUCGGAAUUACUGGGCGUAAAGGGCGCGUAGGCGGUACUUCAAGUCAGGCGUGAAAGCCCCCGGCUCAACUGGGGAGGGUCACGCGAUACUGAUCGACUGGAAGGCAGGAGAGGGUAGUGGAAUUCCCGGUGUAGUGGUGAAAUGCGUAGAUAUCGGGAGGAACACCAGUGGCGAAGGCGACUACCUGGCCUGUUCUUGACGCUGAGGCGCGAAAGCUAGGGGAGCAAACGGG
RNAcentral lists this ribosomal RNA (253 nucleotides) under uncultured bacterium. Its description in RNAcentral is "partial 16S ribosomal RNA". It matches the Rfam family "Bacterial small subunit ribosomal RNA", at positions 524 to 776 of the family's 1533-position model. The record is from RNAcentral.